CGUAGGGUGCGAGCGUUGUCCGGAGUUACUGGGCGUAAAGAGCUCGUAGGUGGUUUGUCGCGUCGUCUGUGAAAUUCCGGGGCUUAACUCCGGGCGUGCAGGCGAUACGGGCAUAACUUGAGUGCUGUAGGGGAGACUGGAAUUCCUGGUGUAGCGGCGAAAUGCGCAGAUAUCAGGAGGAACACCGAUGGCGAAGGCAGGUCUCUGGGCAGUAACUGACGCUGAGGAGCGAAAGCAUGGGUAGCGAACAGGAUU
RNAcentral lists this ribosomal RNA (255 nucleotides) under uncultured bacterium. Its description in RNAcentral is "partial 16S ribosomal RNA". It matches the Rfam family "Bacterial small subunit ribosomal RNA", at positions 526 to 779 of the family's 1533-position model. The record is from RNAcentral.